Molecule: ribosomal RNA, 872 nt
Filed under: Staphylococcus pseudintermedius
Lineage: Bacteria; Bacillati; Bacillota; Bacilli; Caryophanales; Staphylococcaceae
Description: bacterial SSU rRNA
Rfam family: Bacterial small subunit ribosomal RNA
Source: RNAcentral
GAUGAACGCUGGCGGCGUGCCUAAUACAUGCAAGUCGAGCGAACAGAUAAGGAGCUUGCUCCUUUGACGUUAGCGGCGGACGGGUGAGUAACACGUGGGUAACCUACCUAUAAGACUGGAAUAACUCCGGGAAACCGGGGCUAAUGCCGGAUAACAUGUUGAACCGCAUGGUUCUACAGUGAAAGACGGUCUUGCUGUCACUUAUAGAUGGACCCGCGCCGUAUUAGCUAGUUGGUGGGGUAACGGCCUACCAAGGCGACGAUACGUAGCCGACCUGAGAGGGUGAUCGGCCACACUGGAACUGAGACACGGUCCAGACUCCUACGGGAGGCAGCAGUAGGGAAUCUUCCGCAAUGGGCGAAAGCCUGACGGAGCAACGCCGCGUGAGUGAUGAAGGUCUUCGGAUCGUAAAGCUCUGUUGUUAGGGAAGAACAAAUGUGUAAGUAACUGUGCACAUCUUGACGGUACCUAACCAGAAAGCCACGGCUAACUACGUGCCAGCAGCCGCGGUAAUACGUAGGUGGCAAGCGUUAUCCGGAAUUAUUGGGCGUAAAGCGCGCGUAGGCGGUUUUUUAAGUCUGAUGUGAAAGCCCACGGCUCAACCGUGGAGGGUCAUUGGAAACUGGAAAACUUGAGUGCAGAAGAGGAAAGUGGAAUUCCAUGUGUAGCGGUGAAAUGCGCAGAGAUAUGGAGGAACACCAGUGGCGAAGGCGGCUUUCUGGUCUGCAACUGACGCUGAUGUGCGAAAGCGUGGGGAUCAAACAGGAUUAGAUACCCUGGUAGUCCACGCCGUAAACGAUGAGUGCUAAGUGUUAGGGGGUUUCCGCCCCUUAGUGCUGCAGCUAACGCAUUAAGCACUCCGCCUGGGGAGU